RNAcentral lists this ribosomal RNA (494 nucleotides) under uncultured bacterium. Its description in RNAcentral is "partial 16S ribosomal RNA". It matches the Rfam family "Bacterial small subunit ribosomal RNA", at positions 28 to 507 of the family's 1533-position model. The record is from RNAcentral.
GACGAACGCUGGCGGCGUGCUUAACACAUGCAAGUCGAACGGUGAAGCGCCUUCCUUUUUGGUGGGUGUGGAUGAGUGGCGAACGGGUGAGUAACACGUGAGUAACCUGCCCCCUUCUUCUGGAUAACCGCAUGAAAGUGUGGCUAAUACGGGAUAUUCUGGUUCUGUCGCAUGAUGGGUCUGGGAAAGAUAUUGUUUCGGUGGGGGAUGGGCUCGCGGCCUAUCAGCUUGUUGGGGGGGUGAUGGCCUACCAAGGCGGUGCCGGGUAGCCGGCCUGAGAGGGUGGACGGUCACACUGGGACUGAGACACGGCCCAGACUCAUACGGGAGGCAGAAGUGGGGAAUAUUGCACAAUGGGCGCAAGCCUGAUGCAGCGACGCCGCGUGAGGGAUGGAGGCCUUCGGGUUGUGAACCUCUUUCGCCAGUGAAGCAGGCCUGCCUCGUUUGUGGGUGGGUUGACGGUAGCUGGAGAAGAAGCGCCGGCUAACUACGUG